GAUGAACGCUGGCGGCAUGCCUAACACAUGCAAGUCGAUCGGUAAGGCUCUUCGGAGUACACGAGAGGCGGACGGCUGAGUAACGCGUAGGAACACACCCUGCAGUGAGGGAUAAGACACCGAAAGGUGUUCUAAUACCGCAUACGGUCUUCGGAUUAAAGCAUUUAUGCGCUGAAGGAGUGGCCUGCGUCAUAUUAGAUAGUUGGUGAGGUAAUGGCUCACCAAGUCGAUGAUGUGUAGCUGGUCUGAGAGGAUGAUCAGCCAGACUGGAACUGAGACACGGUCCAGACUCCUACGGGAGGCAGCAGUGAGGAAUAUUUCACAAUGAGCGAAAGCUUGAUGGAGCAAUGCCGCGUGCAGGAUGAAGGCCCUCGGGUUGUAAACUGCUUUUAUAAGAGAAGAUUAUGACGGUAACUUAUGAAUAGGGACGGCUAACUACGUG
RNAcentral lists this ribosomal RNA (442 nucleotides) under uncultured bacterium. Its description in RNAcentral is "partial 16S ribosomal RNA". It matches the Rfam family "Bacterial small subunit ribosomal RNA", at positions 28 to 507 of the family's 1533-position model. The record is from RNAcentral.